This 328-nucleotide long non-coding RNA is filed under the name Polistes canadensis. RNAcentral's name for it is "uncharacterized LOC106783662, transcript variant X2". The record is from RNAcentral. Lineage: Eukaryota; Metazoa; Arthropoda; Insecta; Hymenoptera; Vespidae.
CAUAUAUUUAUAUAAUUUUUGUCAACGGUCUAAUCACGUUGGAUUCCUAGUUCCCGUCAGAUCACUGAAGUUAAACAACAUGGGCACGGUUAGUAAAUAUAGAUGGAUGGUGAUCCGUACGAAGAAAUAAAAGACAAAAAAAAUGAAUGUAUUAUAAGUCUUCCCACAAAUUCGAGAUAUUCACGCUGUAACAGAUGAAAAUGAUUAUUAUAUUAAAAUCUCCGAAUCGGUUGACUAAUUUAAGAAGAAAACAAAAUAAGGAUGUCUUACCACCACCUGCUCUGAGCAUAUCAAGAAACGUGCUUUCGGCAUUGCCACGCGUGCGUCC